RNAcentral lists this ribosomal RNA (109 nucleotides) under Candidatus Avibacteroides avistercoris. The record is from RNAcentral. Lineage: Bacteria; Pseudomonadati; Bacteroidota; Bacteroidia; Bacteroidales; Bacteroidaceae.
AAGGGCAGCCACAGCCCCGGGGUUCCGCCUCUUCCCAUCCCGAACAGAGAAGCUAAGCCCGGGCACGCCGAUGGUACUGCGCAAGCGGGAGAGCAGGGAGCUGCCCAUU